Molecule: ribosomal RNA, 41 nt
Filed under: Cernosvitoviella immota
Lineage: Eukaryota; Metazoa; Annelida; Clitellata; Enchytraeida; Enchytraeidae
Description: partial 28S ribosomal RNA
Source: RNAcentral
UCGAUCGAUUUCGACCUGAGAUCAGACGAGAUUACCCGCUG